This 253-nucleotide ribosomal RNA is filed under the name uncultured bacterium. Its description in RNAcentral is "partial 16S ribosomal RNA". It matches the Rfam family "Bacterial small subunit ribosomal RNA", at positions 524 to 776 of the family's 1533-position model. The record is from RNAcentral.
UACAGAGGAUGCAAGCGUUAUCCGGAAUGAUUGGGCGUAAAGCGUCUGUAGGUGGCUUUUUAAGUCCGCCGUCAAAUCCCAGGGCUCAACUCUGGACAGGCGGUGGAAACUACCAAGCUGGAGUACGGUAGGGGCAGAGGGAAUUUCCGGUGGAGCGGUGAAAUGCGUAGAUAUCGGAAGGAACACCUGUGGCGAAAGCGGCUCACUGGACCAUUACUGACGCUGAGGCACGAAAGCUAGGGGAGCAAACAGG